Molecule: ribosomal RNA, 433 nt
Filed under: uncultured bacterium
Lineage: Bacteria
Description: partial 16S ribosomal RNA
Rfam family: Bacterial small subunit ribosomal RNA
Source: RNAcentral
AACGAACGCUGGCGGCAUGCCUAACACAUGCAAGUCGAACGAGACCUUCGUGUCUAUUGGCGCACGGGUGCGUACCGCGUGGGAACCUGCCCUUAGGUUCGGUAUAACUCCCCGAAAGGUGUCCUAAUACCGGUUAAUGUCUUCGGACAAAAGAUGUUUCGCCUUUGGAUGGGCCCGCGUUGGUUUGGCUAGUUGGUAGGGUAAUAGCCUGCCAAGGCGAGGAUCCAUAGCUGGUAUGUGAGGAUGACAAUCUCCACUGGAAAUAAGGCACGGCCUAGCCUGGGACGGAAGGCAGCAGUGGAGAAUAUUGGGCGAUGGGGGAAGGCGUGAUACCGCAAUGCGGCGGGAGAGGUGAAGGGCGUAGGGUUGUACAGCUGUUUGAGCCGGGAUGAGAGUGACAGUACCGGGAGAAGAAGCACCGGCUAACUACGUG